CUGAAAGAACUGGCAGAUGUGCCAGUUUCAGAAUGUAAGCAAUCAUGGAGAAUUAGAAAGAAGACUAAAGAAAGGCAAAUGUUGCUACAAUUUUUCCAAAAGGGAAUUGUAGAAGACAAAUUGCUUCACUUUUCAGAACUGGAAGAAAUGAAAGGAGGAUUAAGGAUGAGGAACAUCUACAUUUAAGUCAUGCAAGCCAGCAUUGGUCAUAUGUUGCAGUUGGUCAGUCAAGUAUGGGUCAGGCACUAUGCUAAUUGCUGUGGUUAUAAAGAAAGGUAAAAGACAGUCCUCUGCUCUCAAGGAAAACACUGCUUCAUGAGGGAGACAACAUUAAAACAAUUAUUUAUAAAGUAUAUUCAGGAAAAAUUGAAGAUAAUUAACCAAAGGAAGGUACUAUCAACAGAAUGCAGACCUAAUGCUUUGCUCUUUAGUGAUCUUUGGAUUACUUACAAGUUUGUUUCAUCUAGAUUAACCAUGUUUCAAGCUUCAC
Long non-coding RNA from Sarcophilus harrisii (Tasmanian devil), 490 nucleotides. RefSeq lists it as uncharacterized. The record is from RefSeq and is a predicted model, not a curated record. Lineage: Eukaryota; Metazoa; Chordata; Mammalia; Dasyuromorphia; Dasyuridae. The transcript is spliced from 3 exons.